This 468-nucleotide ribosomal RNA is filed under the name uncultured bacterium. RNAcentral's name for it is "partial 16S ribosomal RNA". It matches the Rfam family "Bacterial small subunit ribosomal RNA", at positions 28 to 507 of the family's 1533-position model. The record is from RNAcentral.
GACGAACGCUGGCGGCGUGCUUAACACAUGCAAGUCGAACGGAAAGGCCCUGCUUUUGUGGGGUGCUCGAGUGGCGAACGGGUGAGUAACACGUGAGUAACCUGCCCUUGACUUUGGGAUAACUUCAGGAAACUGGGGCUAAUACCGGAUAGGAUCUCCUGCUGCAUGGUGGGGGUUGGAAAGUUUCGGCGGUUGGGGAUGGACUCGCGGCUUAUCAGCUUGUUGGUUGGGUAGUGGCUUACCAAGGCUUUGACGGGUAGCCGGCCUGGGAGGGUGACCGGCCACAUUGGGACUGAGAUACGGCCCAGACUCCUACGGGAGGCAGCAGUGGGGAAUAUUGCACAAUGGGCGGAAGCCUGAUGCAGCAACGCCGCGUGCGGGAUGACGGCCUUCGGGUUGUAAACCGCUUUCGCCUGUGACGAAGCGUGAGUGACGGUAAUGGGUAAAGAAGCACCGGCUAACUACGUG